GACAGAGGGGGCAAGCGUUGCUCGGAAUUACUGGGCGUAAAGGGCGCGUAGGCGGGUUGCAAAGUCUAGGGUGAAAUACUUCAGCUCAACUGGAGAACUGCCUUAGAUACUUGCGACCUCGAGGGGGGUAGGGGCGUGCGGAACUGUAGGUGGAGCGGUGAAAUGCGUUGAUAUCUACAGGAACUCCGGUGGCGAAAGCGGCGCGCUGGACCUCUUCUGACGCUGAGGCGCGAAAGCCAGGGGAGCAAACGGG
RNAcentral lists this ribosomal RNA (253 nucleotides) under uncultured bacterium. RNAcentral describes it as "partial 16S ribosomal RNA". It matches the Rfam family "Bacterial small subunit ribosomal RNA", at positions 524 to 776 of the family's 1533-position model. The record is from RNAcentral.